UUUGCUCUUCAUUUCAACAUGUCUUUUCCUCUUACUCUUUGUGAUUUUCACUUGAUCCUUUUGAGUUUUGAUUCCAAAGUUCUUAAGAGACAGAGAUCCUAUUGGCUGGUGCAAGACCAUAGCAGUUGUGUGUGUGUGUGUGUGUGAGAGAGAGAGAGAGAGAGAGAGAGAGAGAGAGAGAGAGAGAGAGAGGGAGAGGGAGAGGGAGAGGGAGAGCGCUGAGUCACUGUCUCCCAUUUCUGGCUUUGCUUCUCACAUCCACAACCCAUGUGCUCUACUUCCAUUUUUUCCUCUCAUUCCUGUUCCAAGCACAUCUGAAGGUCAAAAGGAGCAUCUCGGAAUCCUCAAGAAACAAGAAGAAAACACACUUGGAUUUUCAAAUAUCUCGAUAUUUUAACUGUGUUUUUUAAAAAAGGAUAAACAGCUCUUUUAAUCAGAAAAAGUUCAGGCAUUAUAGUAUAAAUGAAAGAAUCUCAGUCAAAAAAGCUCAACAUUCGACUAUCUGGACAGCAAUAGAGCAUGCACUCAAAGUGAAAAGAAAAUGACAUGAUGCUUAAACAAUGUUUUAAAGUCCCCCCUGCCACCCAUUUUAGGGGGAGGGGGCAUGGGGAGGAGCUUGGAUGAUGAAAGUAAGAGCAUCCCAAGGGUGGAUGAAGACAUUAAAAGUGAGCAAUAUCCAGUUGCUUCCAGCUGGCUGGCCUGUUUUAACCCAGGGGAAAAAAAAUGGCAUUGGUAACUAGUUUUGUUUCUCUUUACCAUCGGAAAAAUAUUCAGAGAAAAACACUUCUUAUUCAUUUGGCAAAUAUUUACUGAGCUCCAAUCAUGUGCUAGGUACUAUUCUAAAUGAUAAUUAAACAGCUGUGAACCUGCCUGGCCCCUAUAGUUUUGAGGAUACUAAGUACAGGUCACUUUGGCCAUCAAAUUCAGUGUCAUUUUCAGUUCCACAGAAGUCCCUUAAAUGCUGAGCUACAGAGGUGGAUUCUUAGUAAAACCAAAGAAUUUUAAGCUUCAUAGUUGCUUACUUUUAUGGGCCUUUCCUGUGCAUCCUCCUCAAGAAUUUAGUACUCAUUUCAAUACAUGGGCCACUGCUCAUGAAUUAUGAAUUAUAGGUGAGCUCAAUGGGUUGCCAGUAACCCUUUUAUUUUGGCUGGCCCCCAGUGACAUUCUACAUUGUGUGGGGGCUUCCCCAGGUAUCCCAAACCCAACUCUGGCAUCAAGAAGAUUCUUUUUUUUUCCUUUUAACGAUUUUUAUUUUUCUAUUAUAGUUGGUUUAGAGUGUUCUGUCAAUUUUCUGCUGAACAGCAAAGUGACCCAGUCACACAUGCAUAUAUAUACAUUCUUUUUUUCUCACAUUAUCCUCCACAGUGCUCCAGCAUAAGUGACUAGAUAUACUUCCC
Molecule: long non-coding RNA, 1397 nt
Filed under: Sus scrofa (pig)
Lineage: Eukaryota; Metazoa; Chordata; Mammalia; Artiodactyla; Suidae
Description: lncRNA (ENSSSCG00030043060.1)
Source: RNAcentral